RNAcentral lists this ribosomal RNA (253 nucleotides) under uncultured bacterium. RNAcentral describes it as "partial 16S ribosomal RNA". It matches the Rfam family "Bacterial small subunit ribosomal RNA", at positions 524 to 776 of the family's 1533-position model. The record is from RNAcentral.
GACGAACCGUACGAACGUUAUUCGGAAUCACUGGGCUUAAAGGGUGCGUAGGCGGCGCAGAAAGUAGGGUGUGAAAGCCCUCGGCUUAACCGAGGAAUUGCGCUCUAAACUACUGUGCUUGAGGAACCUAGAGGUGAGCAGAACAGAUGGUGGAGCGGUGAAAUGCGUUGAUAUCAUCUGGAAUACCGGAGGCGAAGGCGGCUCACUGGGGGUUUUCUGACGCUGAGGAACGAAAGCCAGGGUAGCGAACGGG